Molecule: long non-coding RNA, 767 nt
Filed under: Homo sapiens (human)
Lineage: Eukaryota; Metazoa; Chordata; Mammalia; Primates; Hominidae
Description: non-protein coding lnc-HLX-2:5
Source: RNAcentral
GCAUAUACACAUUUUGGGAUUCGAUGUUACUGCAUUCCUUCAUCCAUUCAUUUUUUUCAUUGCAGUAUUUAUGGGGAUCCUUGUGAGUGUUUGCACCAUAGAGAAAAAAGCCUCCCCCAGGCCUCGCCUUCUUCCCUCUUUACUCCAUUCCCUAACUCCUGCCUCGUAGGCAGCGGUGGGGAGCCGCAGGCUGCUCCCCGAGUCCCAACGCUACUAGGGUGCUGUAACAGUGAUGAGGCGGCGUUGCAGUCUGGCUAGGCGCUGCAGCGGGCACCAGCUACGUGUAUUUGACUAAGCAUUAACCAUUCCAGCUAAGAGAUCAGUGUUUGUCAUUCAAAAUAGCUGAGGUGGUUGGGAGAGGACAGCCAGUAUUCCCCAAAAGAGGUUUAUUAGUUUCCUAGGCUGCUGUCACAAAUUGACACAGACUUAGUGACUUAAAACAACAGAAAUGUAUUCGCUUACAGCUUGGGAGACCAGAAAUCCAAGGUGAGUUUCCCUGGGUUAAAGUGAAGGUGUUGGCCCGGCUGGUUCCUUCUGGAGGCUCCGAUGGAGACUGUUCUUUGCUUUUUCAGCCUCUGGUUGCUGCUGGCAUUCCUUCGUUUGUGUUUGUGUCACUACAUUCUCUGCUUCUCUGGCACAUGGACUCUUCUUCUGCAUCCAGUUUUCCUCUGUCUUCCUCUCAUAAGCAUGCGUGUGGUAGCAUUUAGCGUCCACCCAGGCAAUCUAGAUUAAUCUCUCACCUCAAGCUCCUUAACUGAAUCACAUCU